CUUGAAGUCAUUAGGGAACCUCCAGAACACUAGAGGAAUAAAUAAGGUGGCUAAUUUUUCUGUCUUUUCCUCUGAGGAGCUUCUUGUGGUCUGACAGAGCAUAUCGGAUUUCUUACAUAAAAUGUAGAGUUGUCAACAUUCAGAUGCUUCAAUGGCCAAGACUGUGGUAUUCAGUUUCUAUCAGCAUGUACAGGAUAUCCUGCCUGGUUUUGACCUCAGGAGAAGAAUGACGGAGAAUGCCUAGGGGGAACUUGUGAACUUUACCUGUCAGAUCUUUCCUCCUGGUGUGAUGUGACGUGCUCUCUCUCACCUCUCAGGAAGCAACGGUGAGAUUUCAUAGCUCACUGUCUUCUGGUUGGAGCAAAGGGGUGGCAAACAGAGGUCAAGUUUGGGUCAUGGGGAAACUGGGAAAAUCCAUUCAAAAUGCUCCUUGCCAUGUGUGAGGAGUACAGUGGCUCCCAAAAACAGUCGCUUGCUGUGUC
RNAcentral lists this long non-coding RNA (482 nucleotides) under Rattus norvegicus (Norway rat). RNAcentral describes it as "long non-coding RNA NONRATT032098". The record is from RNAcentral. Lineage: Eukaryota; Metazoa; Chordata; Mammalia; Rodentia; Muridae.